AGCUGGCGGCGCGCUUACACAUGCAAGUCGCACGAGAAAGCCCGCAAGGGUGAGUACAUCUGGCGUACGGGUGAGUAACACGUGGAUGAUCUACCUUCUAGUGGGGAAUAACCCUGGGAAACCGGGGCUAAUACCGCAUAAGCUCGAGAGAGGAAAGCAGCAAUGCGCUGGAAGAGGAGUCCGCGGCCGAUUAGCUAGUUGGCAGGGUAAAAGCCUACCAAGGCAGAGAUCGGUAGCCGGCCUGAGAGGGCACACGGCCACACUGGCACUGAAACACGGGCCAGACUCCUACGGGAGGCAGCAGUGGGGAAUCUUGCACAAUGGGGGAAACCCUGAUGCAGCGACGCCGCGUGAGCGAUGAAGCCCUUCGGGGUGUAAAGCUCUUUCGGCAGGGAAGAUGAUGACGGUACCUGCAGAAGCAGCUGCGGCUAACUACGUGCCAGCAGCCGCGGUAAUACGUAGGCAGCGAGCGUUGUUCGGAGUUACUGGGCGUAAAGGGUGUGUAGGCGGUUGUUUAAGUUUGGUGUGAAAUCUCCCCGACUCAAAUUGGGAGGGGUGCCCCCGAAUACUGAAAUGACUU
This 580-nucleotide ribosomal RNA is filed under the name uncultured bacterium. RNAcentral describes it as "bacterial SSU rRNA". It matches the Rfam family "Bacterial small subunit ribosomal RNA", at positions 34 to 643 of the family's 1533-position model. The record is from RNAcentral.